This 444-nucleotide ribosomal RNA is filed under the name uncultured prokaryote. RNAcentral describes it as "bacterial SSU rRNA". It matches the Rfam family "Bacterial small subunit ribosomal RNA", at positions 338 to 774 of the family's 1533-position model. The record is from RNAcentral.
CCUAGGGGGGGCAGCAGUGGGGAAUAUUGCGCAAUGGACGAAAGUCUGACGCAGCGACGCCGCGUGAGGGACGAAGGUCUUCGGAUCGUAAACCUCUGUCAGAAGGGAAGAAGUGUAGGGGUAGUAACUGCCCUCUACUUGACGGUACCUUCAAAGGAAGCACCGGCUAACUCCGUGCCAGCAGCCGCGGUAAUACGGAGGGUGCGAGCGUUAAUCGGAAUUACUGGGCGUAAAGCGCGCGUAGGCGGCUUUGUAAGUCAGGGGUGAAAUCCCACGGCUCAACCGUGGCAUUGCCUUUGAUACUGCAGAGCUUGAGUUCGGGAGAGGGUGGUGGAAUUCCAGGUGUAGGAGUGAAAUCCGUAGAGAUCUGGAGGAACAUCAGUGGCGAAGGCGACCACCUGGCCCGAUACUGACGCUGAGGGACGAAAGCGUGGGUAGCAAACA